This 253-nucleotide ribosomal RNA is filed under the name Anaerostipes hadrus ATCC 29173 = JCM 17467. RNAcentral describes it as "Anaerostipes hadrus DSM 3319 partial 16S ribosomal RNA". It matches the Rfam family "Bacterial small subunit ribosomal RNA", at positions 524 to 776 of the family's 1533-position model. The record is from RNAcentral. Lineage: Bacteria; Bacillati; Bacillota; Clostridia; Lachnospirales; Lachnospiraceae.
UACGUAGGGGGCAAGCGUUAUCCGGAAUUACUGGGUGUAAAGGGUGCGUAGGUGGUAUGGCAAGUCAGAAGUGAAAACCCAGGGCUUAACUCUGGGACUGCUUUUGAAACUGUCAGACUGGAGUGCAGGAGAGGUAAGCGGAAUUUCUAGUGUAGCGGUGAAAUGCGUAGAUAUUAGGAGGAACAUCAGUGGCGAAGGCGGCUUACUGGACUGAAACUGACACUGAGGCACGAAAGCGUGGGGAGCAAACAGG